RNAcentral lists this ribosomal RNA (1725 nucleotides) under Ariosoma shiroanago (shiro-anago). RNAcentral describes it as "16S rRNA". It matches the Rfam family "Bacterial large subunit ribosomal RNA". The record is from RNAcentral. Lineage: Eukaryota; Metazoa; Chordata; Actinopteri; Anguilliformes; Congridae.
GCCCAAAAGAUAGCCCACCCACACAACUUAAAUAACCAAACAUAAAUAAUGAAAACCCACUAAGCUUAAACUAAAACAUUCUCCAGCCCUAGUAUAGGAGAUAGAAAAGGAACCUUGGAGCUAUAGAAAAAGUACCGCAAGGGAAAACUGAAAGAGAAAUGAAAUAAAACAGAUGAAGCAACACAAAGCAGAGAUUUAACCUCGUACCUUUUGCAUCAUGAUUUAGCAAGUAAAAAUUAAACAAGAGGAACCUUAGUUUAAAUCCCCGAAACUAGACGAGCUACUCCAAGACAGCCUUUUAUAAGGGCCAACCCGUCUCUGUGGCAAAAGAGUGGGAAGAUCUUUGAGUAGAGGUGAAAGACCUAUCGAGCCUAGUUAUAGCUGGUUGCUUAAGAAAUGGAUGUUAGUUCAGCCCCAUAAUAUUCUUAGGCCCAAGUACUCAAUUUCAAAGUUGAGGAGCUAAGUAAUGUAUGAGAGUAAUCCAAAGGAGGUACAGCUCCCCUGGAAAAGAAAACAGCCUUAAUAAGAGGGCAAAGGAUCAUAUUUAACCAUAAGGGUAAUUUCCCAGUGGGCCUAAGAGCAGCCACCUGUAAAGAAAGCGUUAAAGCUCAAGAAAAGUGUAACCAAAAAUAAUGAUAUAACCUCCCCACCCCCUACUAUUAUUAAGCCCCCCCAUGUAAACAUGGGACAGAUAAUGCUAAAAUGAGUAAUAAGAGAGUAAAAGACUCCCUCCAGGCGCAAGUGUAAGUCAGGCCGGACAAACCACUGACAAAAAACGGGCCCAUGUAGCAAGAGGGAAAAGAAGGAAAGAAAGACUAACAAGAAAAACCUACUAAGAACAAGAACCCGUUAUUCCAACACAGGAGCGCAAAGCAAGGAAAGACUAAAGGAAGAGGAAGGAACUCGGCAAACAAAAAUCUCGCCUGUUUACCAAAAACAUCGCCUCUAGCAAAUGAACACGUAUUAGAGGUCCCGCCUGCCCAGUGACUAUAGGUUCAACGGCCGCGGUAUUAUGACUGCGCUAAGGUAGCGUAAUCACUUGUCUUUUAAAUAAAGACCAGUAUGAAUGGCACCACGAGGAUUUAGCUGUCUCCCUAUUCCAGUCAAUGAAAUUGAUCUAUCCGUGCAGAAGCGGAUAUAAAAACAUAAGACGAGAAGACCCUAUGGAGCUUUAGGAUUUAGGCAAACAUGUCAAGAAACUAUAAACAUGGUAAAACAGCUUUAAACUCAAUGAAACAUGACCCAAUUCCUUAGGUUGGGGCGACCCUGAGGCAAAAAACAGCCCUCAUAUGGAAAUAAAGGAAUGUACUAUUUAAGACCUUUACACCCACGAGUGACAACUCUAAGGAGCAGAAUGUCUGACCAGAACUGACCCAGGAUUAAUUAACCUGAUUAUUGAACCAAGUUACCCUAGGGAUAACAGCGCAAUCUUCUCUUAGAGUUCAUAUCGACGAGGAGGCUUACGACCUCGAUGUUGGAUCAGGACAUCCUAAUGGUGCAACCGCUAUUAAGGGUUCGUUUGUUCAACGAUUAAAGUCCUACGUGAUCUGAGUUCAGACCGGAGAAAUCCAGGUCGGUUUCUAUCUAUGAAGCAACUUUUUCCCAGUACGAAAGGGCCGGAAAAAGUGGGCCAAUACUACGAGCAAGCCCCACCCUAAAUCUCUGAAUAAAUAUAAAAAGAGCAAUAGAGCGCAUGAACCACGCCCAAGAUAAAGGUACGCCAAG